This 497-nucleotide ribosomal RNA is filed under the name uncultured bacterium. Its description in RNAcentral is "partial 16S ribosomal RNA". It matches the Rfam family "Bacterial small subunit ribosomal RNA", at positions 28 to 507 of the family's 1533-position model. The record is from RNAcentral.
GAUGAACGCUGGCGGCGUGCCUAAUACAUGCAAGUCGAGCGAACAGACGAGGAGCUUGCUCCUCUGACGUUAACGGCGGACGGGUGAGUAACACGUGGAUAACCUACCUAUAAGACUGGGAUAACUUCGGGAAACCGGAGCUAAUACCGGAUAAUAUAUUGAACCGCAUGGUUCAAUAGUGAAAGACGGUUUUGCUGUCACUUAUAGAUGGAUCCGCGCCGCAUUAGCUAGUUGGUAAGGUAACGGCUUACCAAGGCAACGAUGCGUAGCCGACCUGAGAGGGUGAUCGGCCACACUGGAACUGAGACACGGUCCAGACUCCUACGGGAGGCAGCAGUAGGGAAUCUUCCGCGAUGGACGAAAGCCUGACGGAGCAACGCCGCGUGAGUGAUGAAGGUCUUCGGAUCGUAAAACUCUGUUAUUAGGGAAGAACAAAUGUGUAAGUAACUAUGCACGUCUUGACGGUACCUAAUCAGAAAGCCACGGCUAACUACGUG